ACGUGAUCUGAGUUCAGACCGGAGUAAUCCAGGUCAGUUUCUAUCUAUCAGAAGUCUUCUCUAGUACGAAAGGACCGAAAAGACAUAGCCAAUGCUCUAGCAAGCUAUCCCCACCAACUUAUGACCCAAACUUAAUAAUAAAAUAGUUCAACACUUAGCCUAAGAAAAAGGCA
This 173-nucleotide ribosomal RNA is filed under the name Gastrotheca litonedis (Azuay marsupial frog). RNAcentral's name for it is "partial 16S ribosomal RNA". The record is from RNAcentral. Lineage: Eukaryota; Metazoa; Chordata; Amphibia; Anura; Hemiphractidae.